Molecule: ribosomal RNA, 679 nt
Filed under: Arthrobacter sp. I12A-02024
Lineage: Bacteria; Bacillati; Actinomycetota; Actinomycetes; Micrococcales; Micrococcaceae
Description: bacterial SSU rRNA
Rfam family: Bacterial small subunit ribosomal RNA
Source: RNAcentral
UCCCUAGCUUGCUGGGGGGAUUAGUGGCGAACGGGUGAGUAACACGUGAGUAACCUGCCCUUGACUCUGGGAUAAGCCUGGGAAACUGGGUCUAAUACUGGAUACGACCUUCCAUCGCAUGGUGGUUGGUGGAAAGCUUUUGUGGUUUUGGAUGGACUCGCGGCCUAUCAGCUUGUUGGUGGGGUAAUGGCCUACCAAGGCGACGACGGGUAGCCGGCCUGAGAGGGUGGACGGCCACACUGGGACUGAGACACGGCCCAGACUCCUACGGGAGGCAGCAGUGGGGAAUAUUGCACAAUGGGCGCAAGCCUGAUGCAGCGACGCCGCGUGAGGGAUGAAGGCCUUCGGGUUGUAAACCUCUUUCAGUAGGGAAGAAGCGAAAGUGACGGUACCUGCAGAAGAAGCGCCGGCUAACUACGUGCCAGCAGCCGCGGUAAUACGUAGGGCGCAAGCGUUAUCCGGAAUUAUUGGGCGUAAAGAGCUCGUAGGCGGUUUGUCGCGUCUGCCGUGAAAGUCCGGGGCUUAACUCCGGAUCUGCGGUGGGUACGGGCAGACUUGAGUGAUGUAGGGGAGACUGGAAUUCCUGGUGUAGCGGUGAAAUGCGCAGAUAUCAGGAGGAACACCGAUGGCGAAGGCAGGUCUCUGGGCAUUAACUGACGCUGAGGAGCGAAAGCAUGGG